GCAUGCGCGGAGAGUGAGCGUGCAUCUUGUCUGGUGCUGUAGUCCUGAGACGUAUACAUGGUGGUGUUCUUUUGUAGUUUUCUAUUUGUAUCAAAAUACUUAUUUGUUACUCUGUGUACGGAAUUAAUGAAUUAUGUAAAAGCAAACCCAGUAUGCAGUUGAAGUAGGAUCGAAUGAAAGAUUGCUACAACGAAUGAAUUGUGCUCUUCGCGGUGUGGCUUAACUGCAACGAUGCUUCAUUGCCUUUGUUGGAAUAUAGCUUCGGUGACAGUGCUUUGUUUAUUUUACCUCACAAUAGAUGGUGUAAAGGUUAGGCCUAUUGGUCUUGAUACUGCAGUAAUAUAUGGAGAAAACGCCACUUUGUUGUGCCAUCUGACCAAGACUGAUGAAAGUCUAACUCGUAUUUUGUGGAAGAAAAAGACACAAGAAAACCCUGAAGAGAAGAUCUUCUUUGUCAUUCAUCCAGAUGGCACAACUGAACAGUCAAAUGGAUUGGGGGACAGAAUACAAUUCGUUGGGAAAUUUGCAGAGAAAAAUGGAUCAAUUCAGCUGCUCAGAAUGAGGUUUCUGGAUGAAGGGAUCUACACAUGCAUCUUCAACUUAAUUUACAGUGGGCCAUUAACAACUGACAUUAAUGUAACAGUUUUUGCUCGUCCUGUGGUUAAUGUGAAAGGGGAGGCACCUGUUGCUGGUCAUUUAGAGGCUACGUUGGCAUCAUGCUUUGCCUCUAAUGCAUUGCCUGCAGCAGCAGUGAUGUGGAGACUAGGAGAUCUGGAAAACUUUCUGAGGACUGAAACCAACCGUACAGUGCACCCCAAUGGGACCAUUACUGUUGUGUCCUACCUACUUGGUGUCCCAUUCAAACAUUUAAACAAAAAGAACGUCCAGUGUGUGGUGAAACACAACACCCUAAGAGAAGACCUUGUGAUGAACUACAUAAUAAACAUUGAAUAUCCUCCAGGGUCAGUGGUUAUAAUUCCUUACAGUGCAGCUAAUGUUAAAGAAUUCAAGUGUAUAGUCGAUAGUAACCCAGAACCAACCAACUACACCUGGACUAGAGUGAAUAAAAGUACUCCCUAUUAUAAAGGCAACAAACUUCCUGUCCCAAAACUGUCCCCUGACUUUAAUGGCUUGUAUAUCUGUCAAGCUUCAAACCAGUAUGGAAGCUCAUCAGGUUCUCUGUAUGUAAAUGUUCAUACUGAAUCCAACACUGUCUGUUGGGGUCUGUUUGGUUUUUUCAACUGUGCUGUUCUUGGGGUUAUUGUCGGUGCUGUGAUAUUCAAAAAAAAGCCGAUCCUCCUCUCAUGGUGUUCAGGCGCGGAUGUAACUUGAGAGAUCAUUUGAGAAUGGAUUCCAGUAUCACUGCGUAACAAUGACGAAGGAGCACAGGACAGUAGAGAACUCUGAACAAGAUGGGAAGAUGGCUGUGAUGAACAGGAAUGGAGGGCUUUCAGUUUACAGACAAUGACAGCUAUGUGCAGGUCAGCGCUCCAUCACAAACCAAAAGUACUAAAUUACCGGAUGUGCCUUUGUUUAGAGAGAAGAAUAAUACUGAUUGGAACAAAGUUCCUUAAGUUUUUAAGGACUGAUAAGGGGAGGAUUCAGAGAGAAAUCACUGUAGACUUCAACUAACAUGAUGGGGAUCACAUAGAUCACACAAGACUUUGACUAAAGAAGACAAGCUAAUAGAUAAGCUAUCAGAUUAAGUUGAAAGUAGAAGUGGUGCACAGGAAAGUACCUUACUUUCAAUAAAAAGGUAGUGUGACGAGCAGGGCGGGCGAGAGCCGUGAGGGAUAUUUAUUUCGCGAGUGAUAAUGAGCAUCACCUGCGAGGCGCGCCGGCCUCGAGUCUCUCACGGAGGAGCUCCGGAGGCAUAAAAGGAGGAGCGACGACCGUGAAGGACGAGAGAGGACCAGGCCUGGACUUUAUUUUAUGUUUUAUUAUGUUUGUGUGGCCGGCAGACGUCCGCGAGGGUCUGCCGGCAUUACUUUCGUUUUGUUCUUUGUUUAUUUUGAAUUAAACUUUUGUUGAACGUUCGCCGGUUCCCGCCUCCUUCUUCCCACAUCUACUAACCGUGUUACAGAUAGUGAUAUUAUUUUUCAAGCUGCAAAACGAUACCAUUUUUUAAGCAUUAUGUACCUCUUCCCUUCUCCUGACUCUAGAGCUUUAUUUAGAGGCGGAAUGAAUAACAUUCAUAUUGUGUUGUCUGUGUCUGCAUUGUUUUAGCAGCUGACUAAUAAAAAAUUAGAGCAAAACAAUAUGCUCGGUGCAGUUUCCCAUUUUGUCUGCUUGUUAGGCGUUGGAAACUUAGACAGAUCUGGCAAGCAUUUCUUGAGCUGUACUUGAGCUUACUUGUUGUGUUUCAUCUCUUUAAACUGCUGAAAGUGUGCUGGAUUACAAACCACAUCUUGACAUAUGUGCCGUUAUUUAUUAUGUUGUGAGUGAAUCAUCAGCACAAAAGGCAGAACAGGAUAUCCUAGAUCAACAGAUGUAUGUUAAACCUGAUAGAGCAGGGUGGUUAUAGGGGUGGGGGAUCGCUUUCACAGGCAGAUGUUGGCUUUGGGCUGUAGACCAACUGUCUAACUGUCUUUUCUUCCUUUGUGUUCUUUCUUUGACAAGACAGUAGGUCUGAAAGAGUGAGGGAGUGGAAUCUAAACACAACAGAACGCAGUGAGCAGUUCACAACCGUUUGAUCAUGGAAAUGUAGUACUUUUUUUGGUAGAAAUGCUAUCCCAUUCAUCAAAUAUCUAUCAGACAAAUCGUCAAACAUGACCAUCAGCUAAUCAAGUUUUAACAGCUAAUACAGGCUGAUCAUUUUGAAAUUUGGCCUGUCCCAUAGAAAAAAAAAAAUAUUGCUCAGUGGUUGCUUUUCUUAAGCUCAUGAGACUUAGUUGCAAUUCUCAUAUAUCCCUAAUUUUAGUAUCAAUAGAGUUUCAGAUGUUUCUCCUAAAAUUCCUUAAGAGAAAUAAGAAUAGACACAAAUGAGACGAGAAAUAUCUGAGAGAAAAGGAGUCAAAACUGAGAGAGUGGUGGAAGAAACUUAGAACAUCUCUUUAUUGACUUGCUGUAGUCUCUUUCAAGACUCCAUUUUAUUGCUUAGAGGUUGCUGUUUUUAAGCUCAUGAAAUUUAGUUGUGAUUCUCAUAUACCAUUGUAGUAUCAACACUGUCUCAGAUGUUUAAUAAGGAGAAAUAAGAGUAGACACAACUGAGACAUGAGAAAUAUCUGUGAGAAAAGGAGUCCAAAAUGAGAAAAAGAAAUCUGUUUAUUGUAAAAAAUAUUUUCAGAGGUUGCUUUUUUUUUUUUUUUUUUUAGCCUUGUGGACCGCACAUCAACAUUGAGACACAGCAGCUCCUCAGACAGCACGAGUAGGAAGAUCGUUCCACCAGCAAGGAACAGUAAACGAGAAUGUUCUGGAGAGUGAUUUCGUGCCUCUCUGUGAUGGUAACACGAGCCUUCACUCAUUUAAUGAGCGUAGGCUUCUGGUAGGAGUGUAGAAUUGUAAGAGUGAGUGGAAGUAGGAGGGUGCUGAGCUUGUGGUAGAUCUGUAAGCAAGCGUCAACGCCUUGAAUUUGAUGCGAGCAGCAAGUGGUAGCCAGUGCAGAGAGAUGAAGAGAGGUGUGACGUGGGCUCUUUUGAGCUCGUUAAAGACAAGACGUGCUGCAGCGUUCUGAAUCAUUUGUAGAGGUUUGAUUGUGCAUGAUGGCAGUCCAGCCAGAAAAGCAUUGCAGUAAUCAAGCCUAGACAUGACCAGGGCCUGGACCAGAAGUUGUGUUGCAUGUUCUGUUAGAAAGGGCCUGAUUUUCCUUAUGUUGUAUAGUGCAAAUCUGCAUGACCGAGCUGUCUUUGCAAUGUGGUCUUUGAAGGUCAGUUGGUCAGAUUUCUGGCCGAAUUUGAUGGGGUUAUUGAUGAUGUACCUAGCUGGAUGCUGAAAUUGUGAUUUAGAGUGGGAUUGGCAGGGAAGACCAGAAGCUCAGUCUUUGCCAGGUCGAGCUGCAGGUGAUGUUCUUUCAUCCAUGCUGAGAUGUCCGCCAGACAGCUUGAGAUUCGUGCAGCUACUGUGGGAUCAUCUGGAUGGAAUGAAAGGAAGAGCUUUGUGUGUCAUCAGCAUAGCAAUGGUAGGAGAAACCAUGUGCCUGUAUGAUGGGACCAAGUGAUGUAGUUUAAAUGGAGAAGAGGAGGGGUCCAAGAACUGAACCCUGAGGAACCCCUGUGGUCAGUUGAUGUAUUAGUAUUACAUUUGUUUCUUGUUAACAAAUGUAAUACUAGUGUUAUUACAGUGCUUCAUGGUUGUUGCAUUAUUAUUUUUUUCUCUUCAUUUAACAUUGCUAAGUUUGUCUUGUACAACCCAUUUUGCAUGCAUGUAAAUAUAGGUCAUGUUUUCCUCCAAGUCAUUGUUCAACAAAACUGUCUACACUAAACUUCAAAUAUGAAAA
Molecule: RNA transcript, 4435 nt
Organism: Megalobrama amblycephala (Wuchang bream)
Lineage: Eukaryota; Metazoa; Chordata; Actinopteri; Cypriniformes; Xenocyprididae
Gene name: nectin-3
Exons: 10
Source: RefSeq, a predicted model, not a curated record